GCGGCUUACCAUGCAAGUCGAACGAUGACUCUCUAGCUUGCUAGAGAAGAUUAGUGGCGGACGGGUGAGUAACAUUUAGGAAUCUGCCUAGUAGUGGGGGAUAGCUCGGGGAAACUCGAAUUAAUACCGCAUACGACCUACGGGUGAAAGGGGGCGCAAGCUCUUGCUAUUAGAUGAGCCUAAAUCAGAUUAGCUAGUUGGUGGGGUAAAGGCCCCAAGGCGGCACGAUUCUGUAACUGGUCUGAGAGGAUGAUCAGUCACACCGGAACUGAGACACGGUCCGGACUCCUACGGGAGGCAGCAGUGGGGAAUAUUGGACAAUGGGGGCAACCCUGAUCCAGCCAUGCCGCGUGUGUGAAGAAGGCCUUUUGGUUGUAAAGCACUUUAAGCAGGGAGGAGAGGCUAAUGGUUAAUACCCAUUAGAUUAGACGUUACCUGCAGAAUAAGCACCGGCUAACUCUGUGCCAGCAGCCGCGGUAAUACAGAGGGUGCGAGCGUUAAUCGGAAUUACUGGGCGUAAAGCGAGUGUAGGUGGCUCAUUAAGUCACAUGUGAAAUCCCCGGGCUUAACCUGGGAACUGCAUGUGAUACUGGUGGUGCUAGAAUAUGUGAGAGGGAAGUAGAAUUCCAGGUGUAGCGGUGAAAUGCGUAGAGAUCUGGAGGAAUACCGAUGGCGAAGGCAGCUUCCUGGCAUAAUAUUGACACUGAGAUUCGAAAGCGUGGGUAGCAAACAGGAUUAGAUACCCUGGUAGUCCACGCCGUAAACGAUGUCUACUAGCCGUUGGGGUCCUUGAGACUUUAGUGGCGCAGUUAACGCGAUAAGUAGACCGCCUGGGGAGUACGGCCGCAAGGUUAAAACUCAAAUGAAUUGACGGGGGCCCGCACAAGCGGUGGAGCAUGUGGUUUAAUUCGAUGCAACGCGAAGAACCUUACCUGGUCUUGACAUAGUGAGAAUCCUGCAGAGAUGCGGGAGUGCCUUCGGGAAUUCACAUACAGGUGCUGCAUGGCUGUCGUCAGCUCGUGUCGUGAGAUGUUGGGUUAAGUCCCGCAACGAGCGCAACCCUUUUCCUUAUUUGCCAGCGGGUUAAGCCGGGAACUUUAAGGAUACUGCCAGUGACAAACUGGAGGAAGGCGGGGACGACGUCAAGUCAUCAUGGCCCUUACGACCAGGGCUACACACGUGCUACAAUGGUAGGUACAGAGGGUUGCUACACAGCGAUGUGAUGCUAAUCUCAAAAAGCCUAUCGUAGUCCGGAUUGGAGUCUGCAACUCGACUCCAUGAAGUCGGAAUCGCUAGUAAUCGCAGAUCAGAAUGCUGCGGUGAAUACGUUCCCGGGCCUUGUACACACCGCCCGUCACACCAUGGGAGUCUAUUGCACCAGAAGUAGGUAGCCUAACGAAAGAGGGC
This 1407-nucleotide ribosomal RNA is filed under the name Enhydrobacter sp. MSSRF1. RNAcentral's name for it is "bacterial SSU rRNA". It matches the Rfam family "Bacterial small subunit ribosomal RNA". Lineage: Bacteria; Pseudomonadati; Pseudomonadota; Alphaproteobacteria; Hyphomicrobiales. The record is from RNAcentral.